CCUACGGGGUGCUGCAGUGGGGGAUAUUGCACAAUGGGGGGAACCCUGAUGCAGCGACGCCGCGUGGGUGAAGGAGCGUUUCGGCGCGUAAAGCCCUAUCGGCAGGGAAGAAGGAGGUCGGUACCUGACUAAGAAGCCCCGGCUAACUACGUGCCAGCAGCCGCGGUAAUACGGAGGGGGCAAGCGUGAUUCGGAGUUACUGGGGGUAAAGGGGGCGCAGGUGGUAGGGUAAGCCAGGAGUGAAAGCCCCGGGCCCAACCCCGGGACUGCUCUUGGAACUGGCCGGCUGGAGGGCCGGAGGGGGAGGCAGAAUUCCUGGUGGAGCGGUGAAAUGCGUAGAGAUCAGGAGGAACACCGGUGGCGAAGGCGGCCUGCUGGACUGCGACUGACGUUGAGGCCCGAAAGCGUGGGGAGCAAACAGGAUUAGAUACCCGAGUAGUC
This 441-nucleotide ribosomal RNA is filed under the name uncultured bacterium. RNAcentral's name for it is "partial 16S ribosomal RNA". It matches the Rfam family "Bacterial small subunit ribosomal RNA", at positions 338 to 795 of the family's 1533-position model. The record is from RNAcentral.